GGAAACUUGGCGAGCGUGAGCAUUAUUUUUGCAAAACAUUUUGUGUGUUUUGGCCACUACUUGUCUGCUCUGGCGCUUGUUUUCAGCAAUAGUAUCUUUUAUACUUUAGGUGCGUUGUUGUAGGAGCCUGUUGUCUAAUAUUUAUUCUUUAUACUCUAAAGAAUAAUAUUGUUUCUGAUGAGUUUCCUCCUGUGACACUGAAGUGAGGAUCAUAUUGUUAAUCAUGCUGGGUGUUGUUCUGUUUUUGUUUGAGCUUUGAUGAACAGGUCGUGGCCCCCUGAGGGCGGAACUUCCCACAUUGUGCCCUUUUUAGGAACAUGCUCUGCAGAAGGAGCCUGAUCUGCCAACAUGGGUUCUCUUGUUGACUGGUCAAUAAUGUGAAUGGGGAGGAGUUGGGAAUAGUCAUCUGUUUAAUAUGUCUUUGGGAGCCUCUCAGGAUAUAAAUGUAACCAGCAUGCAGCAUUCCCCUGCAGUCACACACAGACGAACGUGAAGUGUCUUGUCCAACGACAACCUUUCAAUAAGACGACCUGCUCUACCAUUGUUGCUCAAUACAAGUCGACGUGUCACGGGACGCCCCCAUCAGCGGCU
This 591-nucleotide long non-coding RNA is filed under the name Neogobius melanostomus (round goby). RNAcentral describes it as "lncRNA (ENSNMLG00000023067.1)". The record is from RNAcentral. Lineage: Eukaryota; Metazoa; Chordata; Actinopteri; Gobiiformes; Gobiidae.